UGGCUUAUGUAUUUUUACAAUAUUAUGCAAUCCCUGUGCCUGCAUAAGGAAAAUCUGUCCAGGCGGUUUACCACCGGAUGGGUCAAAAUACCCAACACAACUUGGUAAGCAACUACGGUUGCAGCAAUAAUAAAUCAUACCUGUGAUAUAAAACAUUGUUGUUGGUUUACCAAUUGUGAUUUGAAGAAAAGGUGAAAACCCAACUUCCACCAUGCCAUGUUGGCAUAUAUGAUAUAAAACCGGGUUGUGAUGAACACCGGCCGAUUGCUGGAGACAAAGUGUCAAAGCCAGACCGGUUUUGAGGGAUGCCGGAUUACCU
RNAcentral lists this long non-coding RNA (319 nucleotides) under Triticum aestivum (bread wheat). Its description in RNAcentral is "long non-coding RNA (TAES_LNC009878)". The record is from RNAcentral. Lineage: Eukaryota; Viridiplantae; Streptophyta; Magnoliopsida; Poales; Poaceae.